Molecule: non-coding RNA, 222 nt
Filed under: Carnobacterium iners
Lineage: Bacteria; Bacillati; Bacillota; Bacilli; Lactobacillales; Carnobacteriaceae
Description: T-box sequence
Rfam family: T-box leader
About the family: Uncharged tRNA acts as the effector for transcription antitermination of genes in the T-box leader family. T-boxes are found upstream of many aminoacyl-tRNA synthetase genes and some amino acid biosynthetic genes usually in Gram-positive bacteria.
Source: RNAcentral
CUUAAGACGAUGAUUGGAACAGAAAGCAAUAAUAUACUUUUAGCGAGUUAGAAAUGGUGAAAGUCUAACAGUCUAUUUUAUUGUAAGAUCCUCCAAGAGUGCUAAUUUGAAUAAUCUAUUAAAAUUAGCCGGCUAAUUACCGUUAAUAAUUACUUGAGAGGAAUAAGAGCAAUGUUCAUUUCCUGAACUUGGGUGGUAUCACGAAUUCAUUUCGUCCCUUUU